This is a long non-coding RNA of Fundulus heteroclitus (mummichog), 486 nucleotides long. RefSeq lists it as uncharacterized. The transcript is spliced from 3 exons. The record is from RefSeq and is a predicted model, not a curated record. NCBI's taxonomy places the organism in Eukaryota, Metazoa, Chordata, Actinopteri, Cyprinodontiformes, Fundulidae.
AACGCUUCCCGCAGCACUUAAGUUAACUAUUAUAAGUCUGAAACUAACCCUGAUGGUAUAUUUCUGAAUUUGCCUGGUUCAUUUAGUGUAUUUGCUUAUUUAUCCGCAGUAACAACCCACCGAGACAUUCUCGCUCAAGCAGUCUUUACGGCCAAAAUACUGCCUCCCCCCGAUACAUUUAGCCAGCCGGACGUAACAAUUCAGUCUGUACACGAAAAUAUUGACACUGAGCCAGCACCAGCACAAGAUCUGUCUCGCCCUGCCUCAUCUUCUCAGCACCCUGUAGCAUCAGUCAACUGCUGUGCCAGAAUAAAACACAAGAGGAGGCCCAUUCUCAGAAGCCUACGUUCAUCAGUCCUGAGAUUUCAGCAGUGACAUGCAGUCAGGGGAGAUCCGUCGCUUCAGCCGGGAAACCUGAAGCUUCCUGCUCACCUUUGAGAAAAGUGUGGAUAUAUGGAUUAAAGAUUGAACUGCUUUGUUUCUCAA